RNAcentral lists this ribosomal RNA (253 nucleotides) under uncultured bacterium. RNAcentral describes it as "partial 16S ribosomal RNA". It matches the Rfam family "Bacterial small subunit ribosomal RNA", at positions 524 to 776 of the family's 1533-position model. The record is from RNAcentral.
UACGUAGGUGGCGAGCGUUAUUCGGAUUUAUUGGGCGUAAAGGGUCCGUAGGGGGCCUGUUAAGUCUGGUGUGAAAGCCCACAGCUCAACUGUGGAACUGCACUGGAUACUGACAGGCUAGAGUGCAAGAGAGGAAAGCGGAAUUCAUGGUGUAGCGGUGGAAUGCGUAGAUAUCAUGAGGAAGACCGAUAGCGAAGGCAGCUUUCUGGCUUGUUACUGACCCUGAGGGACGAAAGCCUAGGUAGCGAAAAGG